RNAcentral lists this ribosomal RNA (326 nucleotides) under uncultured eukaryote. RNAcentral describes it as "partial 18S ribosomal RNA". It matches the Rfam family "Eukaryotic small subunit ribosomal RNA", at positions 1470 to 1796 of the family's 1831-position model. The record is from RNAcentral.
CCCUUAGAUGUUCUGGGCCGCACGCGCGCUACACUGAUGCAUUCAACAAGCCUAGCCUUGACCGAGAGGUCCGGGUAAUCUUUGAAACUGCAUCGUGAUGGGGCUAGAUUAUUGCAAUUAUUAAUCUUCAACGAGGAAUGCCUAGUAAGCGUGAUUCAUCAAAUCGCGUUGAUUACGUCCCUGCCCUUUGUACACACCGCCCGUCGCUCCUACCGAUUGAAUGUGUUGGUGAGGAGCUCGGAUUGGCAGCAGUUGGUGGUUCGCCACCGGCUAGUGCUGAGAAGUCCUCCAAACCGCCCCAUUUAGAGGAAGGAGAAGUCGUAACA